GUGCCAGCCGCCGCGGUAAUACGGAGGGUGCAAGCGUUAUCCGGAUUUACUGGGUUUAAAGGGUGCGUAGGUGGGUCUGUAAGUCAGUGGUGAAAUCUCCGAGCUUAACUCGGAAACUGCCAUUGAUACUAUAGGUCUUGAAUUAUCUGGAGGUAAGCGGAAUAUGUCAUGUAGCGGUGAAAUGCUUAGAUAUGACAUAGAACACCAAUUGCGAAGGCAGCUUACUACGGAUCGAUUGACACUGAGGCACGAAAGCGUGGGGAUCAAACAGGAUUAGAAACCCUCGUAGUCC
This 292-nucleotide ribosomal RNA is filed under the name uncultured bacterium. RNAcentral describes it as "partial 16S ribosomal RNA". It matches the Rfam family "Bacterial small subunit ribosomal RNA", at positions 505 to 796 of the family's 1533-position model. The record is from RNAcentral.